Molecule: long non-coding RNA, 655 nt
Organism: Lolium rigidum
Lineage: Eukaryota; Viridiplantae; Streptophyta; Magnoliopsida; Poales; Poaceae
Exons: 6
Source: RefSeq, a predicted model, not a curated record
GCUGAGCCAAUUAGUGCUACUUUAGCUGCUGUAAAAGCCACUCAAGAUAAUGUUACAUUGAUCACCUCUUCUUGGACGGUUACGUCGAUGGAGGUUUACACAGUUGGUAGACUACUACUGUUCUCCUUGCACCAAUAUACUUAAGGUUGUUGGGCCAACCACUUGUAUGUGAGCAGAAGCCAGUUGCUCCUGCUGUGAAUGGGGAUAUGUAUACUCAUGUCAUACCUGAGAACUCCGUGAUCUUUUGGCAGAGGGGAUCAAGUAAAUGUGUUGAUUAUUUGGUUGAAGCGUUUGUGCAGAAGCUGAGCCAAUUAGUUCUACUUUAGCUGCUGUAAAAGCCACUCAAGAUAAUAGUGAGAUACUUGUCUCCUUCUACUUUCCCGGUUCGUUCAUAUUUUCGAGGAUAGGUGUUGUAGCCCUUCUCUGCUGGGAGGUACCUUUCAUACACGUUGAGACCCAUCAAUCAGGAAAUUCGGGCUUGGUGCUGGACUUGAAGCGGAGCCUCUGUGUUAUGCUUGGUGCUGCGAGUGGCUUCUCCUACCUGCAUGAGCAUGCGGACUCUCUGAUCUUCCACCGGGACAUCAAAUGAGACAACAUUCUCCUCAAAGAGCUAUUGGCUGGCUGUUAAGGUCGCUGGCUUUGGCCUCUGCAAGCU